Molecule: ribosomal RNA, 484 nt
Filed under: uncultured bacterium
Lineage: Bacteria
Description: partial 16S ribosomal RNA
Rfam family: Bacterial small subunit ribosomal RNA
Source: RNAcentral
AUUGAACGCUGGCGGCAUGCUUUACACAUGCAAGUCGAACGGCAGCGCGGGCUUCUGCCUGGCGGCGAGUGGCGAACGGGUGAGUAAUGCAUCGGAACGUGCCCAGUAGUGGGGGAUAGCCCGGCGAAAGCCGGAUUAAUACCGCAUACGACCUUAGGGUGAAAGCGGGGGACCGAAAGGCCUCGCGCUAUUUGAGCGGCCGAUGUCGGAUUAGCUAGUUGGUGGGGUAAAGGCUUACCAAGGCGACGAUCCGUAGCUGGUCUGAGAGGACGACCAGCCACACUGGGACUGAGACACGGCCCAGACUCCUACGGGAGGCAGCAGUGGGGAAUUUUGGACAAAGGGGGCAACCCUGAUCCAGCCAUGCCGCGUGCGGGAAGAAGGCCUUCGGGUUGUAAACCGCUUUUGUUCGGGAAGAAAUCCUCUGGGCUAAUACCCCGGGGGGAUGACGGUACCGGAAGAAUAAGCACCGGCUAACUACGUG